GCUAACCCAGGUGCAGACGGCGUGUAAAUACGUGGGGGGCUAGCGGUAAUGGGAAGUACUGGUCGUAAAGCGUGCGCAGGCGGUGUUGUAAGGCAGUGGUGAAAUCCCCGGGCUCAACCUUGGAACUGCCAUUGUGACUGCAAGGCUGGAGUGCGGCAGAGGGGGAUGGAAUUCCGCGUGUAGCAGUGAAAUGCGUAGAUAUGCGGAGGAACACCGAUGGCGAAGGCAAUCCCCUGGGCCUGCACUGUCGCUCAUGCACGAAAGCGUGGGGAGCAAACAGGAUUAGAUACCCCAGUAGUC
RNAcentral lists this ribosomal RNA (300 nucleotides) under uncultured Brachyspira sp. RNAcentral describes it as "bacterial SSU rRNA". It matches the Rfam family "Bacterial small subunit ribosomal RNA", at positions 496 to 795 of the family's 1533-position model. The record is from RNAcentral. Lineage: Bacteria; Pseudomonadati; Spirochaetota; Spirochaetia; Brachyspirales; Brachyspiraceae.